Long non-coding RNA from Humulus lupulus (European hop), 731 nucleotides. RefSeq lists it as uncharacterized. The record is from RefSeq and is a predicted model, not a curated record. The transcript has 2 exons. Lineage: Eukaryota; Viridiplantae; Streptophyta; Magnoliopsida; Rosales; Cannabaceae.
AGACAGGAAACCAAAUCUGGACGAUGAAUCAUGACCGUGUGAUCAGAGCGUGAUUAACGGCUUGAUGUUCCCUCGGAUCAUCGUGGCAGUAGAGGAUCCAUCUCUGUCAAACUUCUGCUGGCUGGGAUGGUCACAAAGGUUAUCUGACAGGGAAACGAAACAGAGAAGAAAGAUUACAACUUGAAACAAAGCAUUUUGUAGUGAGGCGUAGACCAUCAGGCGGGGAUAGCUCAGUUGGGAGAGCGUCAGACUGAAGAUCUGAAGGUCGCGUGUUCGAUCCACGCUCACCGCAUAUUACCCUUUUAUUUUCUCUUUGUUUCUAUUAGAAUACUUUUCCGUUAAAAUUUCUGUUAGUAUUAGCUUCUCUUUGUUUCUAUUAGUUAGACUUGUUAACUAUAUUACCAUUUCGUGUACCUUUUCACAAGAACACUACAAUUUAUUUUCUUUCCUAAUAUGGUAUCAGUGCAUACUACACAACCCUAAUAUUCUUUCAUCUUCUUUCCUCCUCUUCUUUGCUCUGCCGCCCUUCCACAUUUCCAUGGUUCAAGAAGCUCCACCACCCAUGGCGAAGCCACAUCCGGCGAUGUCCCCUCUGCUGCAAAUCGCCCAGAAAAUUCUCAUGUCCAUGGCGAAACCACAACCAGCACUCUUCCUCGCGUGCAUCAAGAAUCGAUGGCCAUUGAAAUUCCUCAAGAAAGGGCUUCUUCUAUUCCCAAGCACAUCAACAUAAG